Mustela putorius furo (domestic ferret) is the source of this 101-nucleotide small nuclear RNA. The record is from Ensembl. NCBI's taxonomy places the organism in Eukaryota, Metazoa, Chordata, Mammalia, Carnivora, Mustelidae.
GUGCUCACUUUCAUAUUACUAAAAUUAGAACAAUGCAGAGAAGAUUAGCAUGGCUCCUGGGGAAGGAUGGCAAGCAGAUUUGUGAAGUGUUCCGUAUUUCU